CAUGUUGUGGUUUCGGGCCUAGGA
This 24-nucleotide non-coding RNA is filed under the name Arabidopsis thaliana (thale cress). The record is from RNAcentral. Lineage: Eukaryota; Viridiplantae; Streptophyta; Magnoliopsida; Brassicales; Brassicaceae.